GAAAUGCCAUUAGCUGAAUGGGGCUGACAUUCCCCCUCUCCCCUCCCCUUAGUCAAGAUAUUCACACAAUUUUCCGAUUGAAUAGUGUAUGUAGUCUCAUCUAUCUCAGAAUCAGGCCCCUAUUAAUAAAACACAGGAGAAUCUGCAAUAUUAAAUGCAGUGUUCAACGUGGUCAAAAAGAGGUCACAUCAGUCCUGAUAUGAAUAAACAGCAAGUGCCAAAGAACUCCAAUUCUUUGCAACUUCAACAUUGCAGGGUUCACAGGUUAUCCACAGGAUAACAUUGAGAUACAGUAUGAUGAAGCGACAGUGGAUUUGCACCAAUCGGUCAAAGCUUUUCCGGCCUCCCAGCAUGUAACUGGGCCCGUCCAUAUAUCCCCGCCUCCUUGCUCAAGCAAAUCAGUUUUUUGUUUGGCACGGCAGGAGCUGGACCAUGGUCAGAGGGCUGCUGGUUCUUGGCAGCCCUAAGCUUUCUUAUUUUAUUUUUAUGGUCUUACUAUUUUUUGAGUGAUUUUUCUAAACAGCGUCUUAUACGUACCUUAGAAAGAGUCACUCCAACAACUCUCUGCCGGGUUGCGACAACGCUUACCCACGAGUACAGUGCUGUUUCGGUUCUUCCAUCUUUAACUCUGCCUCAACACCAGCUAACAUCAGCAGAGUAUCACCAACACAUCAUCUCGCUCAGGACCCAGGAGAGUAACAGAACAGGAAACUCUUCUGUGUGGGAUCAGCUAUACUCUGAGUCUGUUGGGGGCGUACAGAUCUCUCUGUUAUUGGUCUAGGGGAGGGAACUUUCUCAUUCAUGAUGAGUCAUUGGUCAGUGUUAGGGCUUUUGUUGCUGGUUUCUGGUUUCCUGUCCAUCACAUGCUCCUUUGAAUAUAUUCUUUUGUUCCAGUAAAAGUGACUUCAUAUUCCUACAUUUAAUCAUAUUUACUCAUGGCAAUGUGCUACAACUUAAUCACAGGCAUCAAAUUAAUCCACACAUUAGUCUGGUUACUUUGACACCAAGCACGAAAUGUCCAUCUUGCUCCGCUCCAACA
Long non-coding RNA from Pseudophryne corroboree (corroboree frog), 1039 nucleotides. RefSeq lists it as uncharacterized. Lineage: Eukaryota; Metazoa; Chordata; Amphibia; Anura; Myobatrachidae. The record is from RefSeq and is a predicted model, not a curated record. The transcript is spliced from 3 exons.